Molecule: ribosomal RNA, 175 nt
Filed under: uncultured Clostridium sp.
Lineage: Bacteria; Bacillati; Bacillota; Clostridia; Eubacteriales; Clostridiaceae
Description: partial 16S ribosomal RNA
Rfam family: Bacterial small subunit ribosomal RNA
Source: RNAcentral
GAUCCUACGGGAGGCAGCAGUGGGGAAUAUUGCACAAUGGGGGAAACCCUGAUGCAGCGACGCCGCGUGAGUGAAGAAGUAAUUCGGUAUGUAAAGCUCUAUCGGCAGGGAAGAAAAAAAUGACAGUACCUGACUAAGAAGCCCCGGCUAACUACGUGCCAGCAGCCGCGGUAAU